This 390-nucleotide long non-coding RNA is filed under the name Spirodela polyrhiza (greater duckweed). Its description in RNAcentral is "long non-coding RNA (SPOL_LNC001657)". The record is from RNAcentral. Lineage: Eukaryota; Viridiplantae; Streptophyta; Magnoliopsida; Alismatales; Araceae.
AGAUCCUUCUUUAAUCAUCAGCGUUGCUGGGUCGUCGUACUCCACCAUUUCUCCUAGAAAGCAAAAUAGAGAGAUCUUAUUCAGGUAAAUUCCUUCCCCAAAUAAACCAUUUGUCAUCGACCCAUUGGGCCUCACUGAAGAAACCGAUCAGGUUAUGUGAAUCGUCGUCAGUUGUGUCAGGAAAAAUAAUAAACUAUUUCAGGCAUGAUCUCACCGCCGCUAAUUGUGAGUACCCUUGUGCAGUCCAUGACAGUAGGUAUUCUAUGAGCCACAGUAAGGACCGUAGAGGCAGCGAACUCGGUUCUGAUGGUCUUUUGAAGGAUGGCAUCGGUGGCGUUGUCAAUGGAUGCUGUGGCCUCAUCAAGAACCAGUAUUCUGCUUCUCCUCAAC